CAUCAAUGCGCCAACACCAUGAUGCAGUCGGGCGGUAGCAGGGAGAAAGCUUGCUUUCUCCGCUGACGAGCGGCGGACGGGUGAGUAAUGUCUGGGGAUCUGCCUGAUGGAGGGGGAUAACUACUGGAAACGGUAGCUAAUACCGCAUAACGUCGCAAGACCAAAGUGGGGGACCUUCGGGCCUCAUGCCAUCAGAUGAACCCAGAUGGGAUUAGCUAGUAGGUGGGGUAAUGGCUCACCUAGGCGACGAUCCCUAGCUGGUCUGAGAGGAUGACCAGCCACACUGGAACUGAGACACGGUCCAGACUCCUACGGGAGGCAGCAGUGGGGAAUAUUGCACAAUGGGCGCAAGCCUGAUGCAGCCAUGCCGCGUGUAUGAAGAAGGCCUUCGGGUUGUAAAGUACUUUCAGUAGGGAGGAAGGUGUGAGCGUUAAUAGCGUUCACAAUUGACGUUACCUACAGAAGAAGCACCGGCUAACUCCGUGCCAGCAGCCGCGGUAAUACGGAGGGUGCAAGCGUUAAUCGGAAUUACUGGGCGUAAAGCGCACGCAGGCGGUUUGUUAAGUUGGAUGUGAAAUCCCCGGGCUUAACCUGGGAACUGCAUCCAAGACUGGCAAGCUAGAGUCUCGUAGAGGGAGGUAGAAUUCCAGGUGUAGCGGUGAAAUGCGUAGAGAUCUGGAGGAAUACCGGUGGCGAAGGCGGCCUCCUGGACGAAGACUGACGCUCAGGUGCGAAAGCGUGGGGAGCAAACAGGAUUAGAUACCCUGGUAGUCCACGCUGUAAACGAUGUCGAUUUGGAGGUUGUGCCCUUGAGGCGUGGCUUCCGAAGCUAACGCGUUAAAUCGACCGCCUGGGGAGUACGGCCGCCACGUUAAAACUCAAAUGAAUUGACGGGGCCCGCACAAGCGGUGGAGCAUGUGGUUUAAUUCGAUGCAACGCGAAGACCUUACCUACUCCUUGACAUCUAGCCAAUCUUGUAGAGAUACGGGAGUGCCUUCGGG
Molecule: ribosomal RNA, 1001 nt
Filed under: Edwardsiella ictaluri
Lineage: Bacteria; Pseudomonadati; Pseudomonadota; Gammaproteobacteria; Enterobacterales; Hafniaceae
Description: bacterial SSU rRNA
Rfam family: Bacterial small subunit ribosomal RNA
Source: RNAcentral